GAUGAACGCUGGCGGCGUGCCUAAUACAUGCAAGUCGAGCGAACGGACGAGAAGCUUGCUUCUCUGAUGUUAGCGGCGGACGGGUGAGUAACACGUGGAUAACCUACCUAUAAGACUGGGAUAACUUCGGGAAACCGGAGCUAAUACCGGAUAAUAUUUUGAACCGCAUGGUUCAAAAGUGAAAGACGGUCUUGCUGUCACUUAUAGAUGGAUCCGCGCUGCAUUAGCUAGUUGGUAAGGUAACGGCUUACCAAGGCAACGAUGCAUAGCCGACCUGAGAGGGUGAUCGGCCACACUGGAACUGAGACGCGGUCCAGACUCCUACGGGAGGCAGCAGUAGGGAAUCUUCCGCCAUGGGCGAAAGCCUGACGGAGCAACGCCGCGUGAGUGAUGAAGGUCUUCGGAUCGUAAAACUCUGUUAUUAGGGAAGAACAUAUGUGUAAGUAACUGUGCACAUCUUGACGGUACCUAAUCAGAAAGCCACGGCUAACUACGUG
This 497-nucleotide ribosomal RNA is filed under the name uncultured bacterium. Its description in RNAcentral is "partial 16S ribosomal RNA". It matches the Rfam family "Bacterial small subunit ribosomal RNA", at positions 28 to 507 of the family's 1533-position model. The record is from RNAcentral.